Molecule: ribosomal RNA, 465 nt
Filed under: uncultured Chloroflexota bacterium
Lineage: Bacteria; Bacillati; Chloroflexota
Description: bacterial SSU rRNA
Rfam family: Bacterial small subunit ribosomal RNA
Source: RNAcentral
UGGGAUGAGGCUGCGGGCCAUCAGCUAGUUGGUGAGGUAAUGGCUCACCAAGGCGACGACGGUUAGGGGGCCUGAGAGGGUGACCCCCCACACUGGGACUGAGACACGGCCCAGACUCCUACGGGAGGCAGCAGUGAGGGAUAUUGCGCAAUGGACGAAAGUCUGACGCAGCGACGCCGCGUGGGCGAAGAAGGUUUUCGGAUCGUAAAGCCCUUUUCUUGGUGACGAGAACGGACGGUAGCCAAGGAAAAAGUGUCGGCUAACUACGUGCCAGCAGCCGCGGUAAAACGUAGGACGCAAGCGUUAUCCGGAGUUACUGGGCGUAAAGCGCGUGCAGGCGGAUCGGUAAGUCAUUUAUGAAAGCUCCUGGCUAAACUGGGAGAGGCUGGAUGAGACUGUCGAUCUUGAGAGAGGAAGAGGAAGGUAGAAUUCCGCGUGUAGUGGUGAAAUGCGUAGAUAUGCGGA